This 497-nucleotide ribosomal RNA is filed under the name uncultured bacterium. RNAcentral's name for it is "partial 16S ribosomal RNA". It matches the Rfam family "Bacterial small subunit ribosomal RNA", at positions 28 to 507 of the family's 1533-position model. The record is from RNAcentral.
GACGAACGCUGGCGGCGUGCCUAAUACAUGCAAGUUGAGCGAUGAAGCUUGGUGCUUGCCCCAAUUUGAAGAGCAGCGAACGGGUGAGUAACGCGUGGGGAAUCUGCCUUUGAGCGGGGGACAACAUUUGGAAACGAAUGCUAAUACCGCAUAACAACUUUAAACAUAAGUUUUAAGUUUGAAAGAUGCAAUUGCAUCACUCAAAGAUGAUCCCGCGUUGUAUUAGCUAGUUGGUGAGGUAAAGGCUCACCAAGGCGAUGAUACAUAGCCGACCUGAGAGGGUGAUCGGCCACAUUGGGACUGAGACACGGCCCAAACUCCUACGGGAGGCAGCAGUAGGGAAUCUUCGGCAAUGGACGAAAGUCUGACCGAGCAACGCCGCGUGAGUGAAGAAGGGUUUCGGAUCGUAAAACUCUGUUGGUAGAGAAGAACGUUGGUGAGAGUGGAAAGCUCAUAAAGUGACGGUAACUACCCAGAAAGGGACGGCUAACUACGUG